GACCUGAUUGCACAACGGCUAGUGCGUCUGCAUUCAGUAUUCUGGAAAGAUAGUUUCUGCAGAGGAUCCCUGUUCGAUUCGGGGUCAGGUUA
Molecule: non-coding RNA, 92 nt
Organism: Mycena latifolia
Lineage: Eukaryota; Fungi; Basidiomycota; Agaricomycetes; Agaricales; Mycenaceae
Source: the annotation of a GenBank genome assembly